RNAcentral lists this small nuclear RNA (113 nucleotides) under Helianthus annuus (common sunflower). RNAcentral describes it as "U5 spliceosomal RNA". It matches the Rfam family "U5 spliceosomal RNA". From Rfam's summary of the family: U5 RNA is a component of both types of known spliceosome. The precise function of this molecule is unknown, though it is known that the 5' loop is required for splice site selection and p220 binding, and that both the 3' stem-loop and the Sm site are important for Sm protein binding and cap methylation. Lineage: Eukaryota; Viridiplantae; Streptophyta; Magnoliopsida; Asterales; Asteraceae. The record is from RNAcentral.
AGCCAUGUAGAGAGCACAAAGCGAACUAUUCUUUCGCCUUUUGCUAAAGAAUACCAUGUGCUCGUUACAUUAAAUGGUAUACGUUUAUUUUUGGAGAGCAUCUUCGGUUACUG